CGGCGAAGUAUGCAGAGAAGCCAGCGAAAUGGGGGAACCAGAAGGUUGCUCCACGAAACAUUCACCAGCCUCGUUGAAGUGCAAAGUUAACUAGGCAGAGUAUGUUGUAUCUUUAGCCACCUGUACCUUUGUAAUUUUUAGUAUUUUCUGCUUUCCACAAGUGAGAACCUGUAACUUCUUUGUACCUUUAUGAUGUUCAGUCUCAAACUUGUUAUCUCAAAAAAAAAAUGUAAAAACAUAAAAAAAUUGUAAAAUUUGAAGAGUAAUGAGAAAUAGAGU
Molecule: long non-coding RNA, 279 nt
Filed under: Brassica rapa (field mustard)
Lineage: Eukaryota; Viridiplantae; Streptophyta; Magnoliopsida; Brassicales; Brassicaceae
Description: long non-coding RNA (BRAP_LNC003134)
Source: RNAcentral